AUUGAACGCUGGCGGCAGGCCUAACACAUGCAAGUCGAACGAGUGGCGGACGGGUGAGUAAUGUCUGGGAAACUGCCUGAUGGAGGGGGAUAACUACUGGAAACGGUAGCUAAUACCGCAUACCAUCAGAUGUGCCAAGAUUGGAUUAGCUAGUUGGUGGGGUAACGGCUCACCAAGGCGACGAUCCCUAGCUGGUCUGAGAGGAUGACCAGCCACACUGGAACUGAGACACGGUCCAGACUCCUACGGGAGGCAGCAGUAGGGAAUCUUCCGCAAUGGGCGCAAGCCUGAUGCAGCCAUGCCGCGUGUGUGAAGAAGGCCUUCGGAUUGUAAAGUACUUUCAGCAGGGAAGCGUUACCCACUGAGAAAGCACCGGCUAACUCCGUGCCAGCAGCCGCGGUAAUUC
This 406-nucleotide ribosomal RNA is filed under the name uncultured bacterium. RNAcentral describes it as "partial 16S ribosomal RNA". It matches the Rfam family "Bacterial small subunit ribosomal RNA", at positions 30 to 526 of the family's 1533-position model. The record is from RNAcentral.